CCCUGGUUCGUGUUUGCUGCGGUGACACGGUGCCGCACUGAGUGAAGAUUGCGUUCAUAAUCACUUAUCGGGGGUGGAGUGGGGAAAGGAGAGUCAGGAAGUGAGGAUAUUUAUAUUAUUUGACAUAUUAUUUGAUAGCAUGUCAACUUUUGUGUGUGUGUGUGUGUGUGUGUGUGUGCGUGUGGGGGUGGGUGGGUGUUGGAUCAGUGACAGGUGGCGCUGGGGAGUUACCACGGCGAGCGGCUGGCUGGCUGCAGUGUUUUGGUCAGCACUGGUCAGUCUUGCCCUACACGCUCUAUUAACCAGUGUUUCCGUCUUCCCGACACCUUCUUCCUGCACCAAGCACCGUCAAGCAUCACCAGAGAGGCACGAGUACGUAAGCUAUCCAACAUCAGAACAGUAUAUGAAUAUGGCAAAUGCUGUUUUGACAUCAUUUCCUGCCAUCCUGAGAAACAGUGAUCUCGAGGAGCAUGAAUUGCAGCUGCAAUGGAAAUUGCUCAUCCAGCGCAAGUUUCAGAAUUCAAGAAAGAGGCAGGAUUCCUCAGUGACUGAGGUGACGUCAAGGAAAAAGAAGAUCCCUUGCAUAGCGCCAAAAGAGACUACGUGUCCACUGAUGUAUGGAGUAAAGGCUUACCUUCCACCAAGGCCCCAUUCAGAAGAUGAUGAGUCAUUAGAGAGACAUAGACAGUGGCUUGCUCUACAUUGGAUGAAGAAAGAUCCCGAGUUAGAUAAGAUAAUCAAGGAGUUCCUGAGAUUAGAACCACAAGCGGAUGAACCAGACCCAAUAGUAGCAGUUUUGAAAGGGCUGGAGAAAUAUAGGCUCCCAAUAAUUGCCAUUCUCAAAAAAAGAAAAGCAGUUCCUCUGUAUAUGGAAACCUUAUUUGAACUCUAUGACCACGAUGAAAGUCAAUGCGAGUAAUGUCUAUUUCAAUUUGUUCAUUUCAGUAGCUGGUAGCAAUUUAAUAUAUGUAUCUUUUCAUCAUUAG
This is a long non-coding RNA of Scylla paramamosain (green mud crab), 986 nucleotides long. RefSeq lists it as uncharacterized. The transcript has 3 exons. NCBI's taxonomy places the organism in Eukaryota, Metazoa, Arthropoda, Malacostraca, Decapoda, Portunidae. The record is from RefSeq and is a predicted model, not a curated record.